RNAcentral lists this ribosomal RNA (468 nucleotides) under uncultured bacterium. Its description in RNAcentral is "partial 16S ribosomal RNA". It matches the Rfam family "Bacterial small subunit ribosomal RNA", at positions 28 to 507 of the family's 1533-position model. The record is from RNAcentral.
GACGAACGCUGGCGGCGUGCUUAACACAUGCAAGUCGAGCGGAAAGGCCCUGCUUUUGUGGGGUGCUCGAGUGGCGAACGGGUGAGUAACACGUGAGUAACCUGCCCUUGACUUUGGGAUAACUUCAGGAAACUGGGGCUAAUACCGGAUAGGAGCUCCUGCUGCAUGGUGGGGGUUGGAAAGUUUCGGCGGUUGGGGAUGGACUCGCGGCUUAUCAGCUUGUUGGUGGGGUAGUGGCUUACCAAGGCUUUGACGGGUAGCCGGCCUGAGAGGGUGACCGGCCACAUUGGGACUGAGAUACGGCCCAGACUCCUACGGGAGGCAGCAGUGGGGAAUAUUGCACAAUGGUCGGAAGCCUGAUGCAGCAACGCCGCGUGCGGGAUGACGGCCUUCGGGUUGUAAACCGCUUUCGCCUGUGACGAAGCGUGAGUGACGGUAAUGGGUAAAGAAGCACCGGCUAACUACGUG